Molecule: ribosomal RNA, 446 nt
Filed under: uncultured bacterium
Lineage: Bacteria
Description: partial 16S ribosomal RNA
Rfam family: Bacterial small subunit ribosomal RNA
Source: RNAcentral
AACGAACGCUAUCGGUAUGCUUAACACAUGCAAGUCGGACGGACUAAUUAGGGCUUGCUCCACUUAGUUAUUGGCAGACGGGUGAGUAACACGUGGGCAUCUGCCCCUCAUUACGGAAUAACUUUUAGAAAUAAAAGCUAAUACCGUAUAUUCUCUACACAGGAAAGAUUUAUCGCUGAUGGUUGAGCCCUCGUCAGAUUAGGUAGGUGGUGAGGUAACGGCUCACCAAGCCGACGAUCUGUAGCUGGUCUGAGAGGAUGAUCAGCCACACUGGGAGUGAGACACGGCGCAGACUCCUACGGGAGGCAGCAGGGGGGAAUAUGGGACAACGGGCGAAAGCAGGAGGCAGCAAGACCGAGAGAGUGAUAAAGGCCCUAGGAUUGGAAAGCGCUUUUAGCAAGGAAGAUAAUGACGUAACUAGAAGAAAAAGCCCGGGCUAACUCGGU